This 253-nucleotide ribosomal RNA is filed under the name uncultured bacterium. RNAcentral's name for it is "partial 16S ribosomal RNA". It matches the Rfam family "Bacterial small subunit ribosomal RNA", at positions 524 to 776 of the family's 1533-position model. The record is from RNAcentral.
UACGAAGGGGGCUAGCGUUGUUCGGAUUUACUGGGCGUAAAGCGCACGUAGGCGGAUUGUUAAGUCGGGGGUGAAAUCCUGGAGCUCAACUUCAGAAUUGCCUUCGAUACUGGCUUUCUAGAGGCUGGAAGAGGUUAGUGGAAUUCCCAGUGUAGAGGUGAAAUUCGUAGAUAUUGGGAGGAACACCAGUGGCGAAGGCGGCUAACUGGUCCAGAUCUGACGCUGAGGUGCGAAAGCGUGGGGAGCAAACAGG